Molecule: transfer RNA, 72 nt
Filed under: Stegodyphus mimosarum
Lineage: Eukaryota; Metazoa; Arthropoda; Arachnida; Araneae; Eresidae
Rfam family: tRNA
About the family: Transfer RNA (tRNA) molecules are approximately 80 nucleotides in length. Their secondary structure includes four short double-helical elements and three loops (D, anti-codon, and T loops).
Source: Rfam by way of RNAcentral
GCGUCGGUGGUUUAACGGUUAGCAUAGCUGCCUUCCAAGCAGUUGACCCCGGUUCGACUCCCGGCUGACGCA